Molecule: long non-coding RNA, 933 nt
Organism: Hemicordylus capensis (graceful crag lizard)
Lineage: Eukaryota; Metazoa; Chordata; Lepidosauria; Squamata; Cordylidae
Exons: 2
Source: RefSeq, a predicted model, not a curated record
CAUAAGAAUCUGUAGAUUGUCUUUUGGAUUCAAAGUCAGAAUCAUUAAGAGUACAAAGCAGGCUGACUGAAUGCAAACCUGCCAUUUUAAGUGUGUGUGUGUGUGUUUUAAAAUUAAUGGAUUGUUUUCAGUUAUUUACAUUUACAAUUCAAUGGCCUUGGAAAAAAUACAACAUCUCAUCCAAGCACCAACAUUGGCUAAGAACAACUGACAAUAGCAAAGAGCAACUUUCAGUAUUGAAAUACUCCCCAUCCCUGGAAGCUGACUUGUGGUUCAUUUUUUAAUUUAUUCUGCAAACUUCACUCUCUGGUGGCAGAAUGGCCAAAUUAUAUAUCCACUUUUUGGAAUGUUAUUAAACUUUCUGGCUCUGGCUCAAGACUUGUUACAUCCCAGAACUGAAAACAGAUGAGGCUUCCUUUUCAGAGGAGGACUACUUCAGGUCCCAGCAUGAACCAGAGGAGAACGGGGCACACUGAGUGAACCCCUGAGACAAUACUCCAAGACAAUCCUCUGCCUCAGAAACCUGCAGAAACAGAGGACCUAAUAUUUCCCAACUGGACCCUGCCCCUGCCUUUGGACCUCCAACAACCACCACAGGAUCAUUAAAAACAGAGAUGGAAAUGAGCUCAAACUGAAGGGUUGACACUCACCUGGCAUAAUGAGGAAUUCCAUUCUGGAGUCCUACCUGGAAGGAGGAAACUGGACCAUAAAUGGCCAAGAUCAGCCCAAGACAUGGUUUGGGUGUCAACAGAAAGUUUGUGUCACCACCAUAGCUGAGAAACUAGCAUAUCAGGCCCCUCCUCUCUAACCCCUGCACCCACUGGGAGUUUGGUUGGGAGCACUGGAUCCUUGCCACCUCCCACAGGCCAACAAAUCAGCUCACCUCAGAUAGCACCUGUCUUAUAUUAAACUGAAGGUUCUUUGAUAUUUCAA